RNAcentral lists this long non-coding RNA (851 nucleotides) under Homo sapiens (human). RNAcentral's name for it is "HSALNT0365840". The record is from RNAcentral. Lineage: Eukaryota; Metazoa; Chordata; Mammalia; Primates; Hominidae.
GCCGCCCCGUCCGGGAGGGGGGAGGGGGGGUCAGCCCCCUGCCCGGCCAGCCGCCCCGUCCGGGAGGGAGGUGGUGGGGGCCAGCCCCCCGCCCGGCCAGCCGCCCCGUCCGGGAGGCCUCCAUGAUGUAAUACUCGAAGGAAGCUCUUGGAACAAAAGAAGGGAACUUCUGAUAUGCAAGAAAGAAUGAAGAGCUCAGGAAUAGACUACAUCACAAGAAGGUCAGGGUGCUUUCUGCUGAGUAUCGAUGAAAGCGGACAAGAAUAUAUACAGCAGAGCUCUUUUCGCUCUGUCUUCUUCAGUAAGCAAUGCUGGUGGAUUCUUCUGCAUCAACUUGGUUAAACUGAAACAACUUAUCCCAGAAUUUCUUCUGUAUAUAUUUCCAAGUUAGAGUCGGCCAAAAGAAAAAUUUGCACAAGAUCUGGAAGUGUCCAGUUGGUCUCCUUGAGGUAUCAUGCCAUUUUGGAGUCUCCGCAUUAGUCUCUGUUGCUGGCAGGUUGAACAUAGCAGUAGCAGAAGUCGGUCCCGGUGAGUGAGAGCCCAUGUUGUUGGACCCAGGCAGGACCUCCACCUCUGCCACCAUGGCCAUGUCAUUCAGACACUAAUGGCUAAUGUCAACUCCCUGGCUUCUUUUGUUUUGACGGUUUUUGAGUGUCCUUUCCCUGGAGGAUGAUAUCUGGUGGUCAUUAAGGAAUGACAUGAAGAUCUUCAACAUGGCGCCUUGAACAUGCCCAUCCACAUGCCGCUACCUUAGACCUCCUAGUCCCCAGUCUUUCAAUCUCUGUCACUUCAGGCCCCUGACCAGUCAGCCUGGAUCCCAAGUGUUACUAUCAAGACCUUGUCUAUUGCAU